Molecule: long non-coding RNA, 2410 nt
Filed under: Phasianus colchicus (ring-necked pheasant)
Lineage: Eukaryota; Metazoa; Chordata; Aves; Galliformes; Phasianidae
Description: lncRNA (ENSPCLG00000015985.1)
Source: RNAcentral
GGGUGCUAUAGGGUGCUAUGAGACGAUAUGGGGCGCUAUGGGGCGCUAUGGGGUGCUAUGGGAUGCUAUAGGGUGCUAUAAGGUGCUAUAGGGUGCUAUGGGGCGCUAUGGGGCGCUAUGGGGUGCUGUGGGGCACAAUAGGGUUCUGUGGGGCACUAUGGGGUGCUAUGGGGUGCUAUGAGAUGAUAUGGGGCGCUAUGGGGUGAUAUGAGAUGCUAUGGGGCGACAUGGGGCGCUAUGGGGUGCUAUGGGGGGAUGUAGGGCGCUAUGGGGUGCUAUGAGACGAUAUGGGGUGCUAUGGGAUGCUAUAGGGUGCUAAAGGGUGCUAUGGGGCGCUAUGGGGCGCUAUGGGGCACAAUAGGNNNNNNNNNNNNNNNNNNNNNNNNNNNNNNAAUAUGGGGUCUUAUGGGGUGCUAUGGGGCGAUAUGGGGCACAAUAGGGGGAUGUGGGGCGCUAUGGGGCGCUAUGGGGUGCUAUGGGGUGACAUGUGGCGCCGUAGGGUGCUAUGGGGUGCUAUGGGGUGACAUGAGGCGCUAUGGGGUGACAGGAGGCGCUGUGGGGAGACAUGGGGCGCUAUGGGGUGACACGUGGCUCCGUAGGGCGCUAUGGGGCGCUAUGGGGCGCUGUGGGGCGGUCAGUGGCGGGGCUCGUCGGGGGCGGGGAUGCGGUGGCGGGUGGGCUCCGUGCCCCAGAUCUCGCGGGCGUAUUGAGCGAUAGUUCGGUCGCUGGAGAAUUUCCCGGCCGCCGCGAUGUUCCGGAUCACCGUGCGGGUCCACUGUCGGGAGUCCUGCGCGACAGCGCCGCGAUAUGGGGUCAGAACGCAGCGGUAUGGAGUCAGAGCACCGCGAUAUACGGUCAGAGCACAGCGAUAUGGGGUCAGAGCGCCGCGAUUUGGGGUCAGAGCCACAUCAAUGGGGUCAGAGCACCGCGAUGUGGGGUCAGAGCACCGAGAUAUGGGGUCAGAGCGCAGCGAUAUGGGGUCAGAGCGCAGCGAUAUGGGGUCAGAACUCAGCGAUAUGGGGUCAGAGCACACUGAUAUGGGGUCAGAGCACCGCGAUAUGGGGUCAGAGUGCAGUGAUAUGGGGUCAGAAAUCAGCGAUAUGGGGUCAGAGCACACUGAUAUGGGGUCAGAGCGCAGCGAUAUGGGGACAGAGCUCAGCAAUGGGGUCAGAGCACUGCAAUAUGGGGUCAGAGUGCAGUGAUAUGGGGUCAGAGCACAGCGAUAUGGGGUCAGAGCGCCGCGAUGUGGGGUCAGAAAUCAGCGAUAUGGGGUCAGAGCACUGCGAUAUGGGGUCAGAGUGCAGUGAUAUGGGGUCAGAACUCAGCGAUAUGAGGACAGAGCUCAGCAAUGGGGUCAGAGCACCGCGAUAUGGGGUCAGAGCCACCAUUAUGGGGUCAGAGCCACCGUAAUGUGGUCAGAGGCACAGUAAUGGGGUCAGAGGCAAAUCACUGAGGUCAGAGCCACAGUAAUGGGGUCAGAGCCACUGUAAUGGGGUCAGAGCCACAGUAAUGGGGUCAGAAGCACAGUAAUGGGGUCAGAGCCACUGUAAUGGGGUCAGAGCCACAGUAAUGGGGUCAGAGCCACCGUAAUGGGGUCAGAGCCACCAUUAUGGGGUCAGAGCCACUGUAAUGGGGUCAGAAGCACAGUAAUGGGGUCAGAGCCACUGUAAUGGGGUCAGAGACAAAUCAUUGGGGUCAGAGCCACCAUUAUGGGGUCAGAGCCACCAUUAUGGGGUCAGAGCCACUGUAAUGGGGUCAGAGGCAAAUCACUGGGGUCAGAGCCAUCAUUAUGGGGUCAGAGCCACUGUAAUGGGGUCAGAGCCACCGUCAUGGGGUCACAGCCACCGUCAUGGGGUCGCAGCUACAUCAGUGGGGUCAGAACCCCAUCAGUGGGCAAAGACCACCCCAUAACCUCACCCCAUAACCCCAUAACCCCACCCCAUAACCCCAUAACCCCACCUCAUAACCUCACCCCACAACCUCAUCUCCCCGCAGCCCCACACCCCAUAACCCCACAGCCCCCUAACCCCAUCACCCCAUAACUCUAUGACCCUAUAACCCCCCGACCCCAUAACCUCCCGACCCCAUAACCCCCCUGACCCCAUAACCCCCCCGACCCCAUAACCCCACAAACCUUGUACAGCUCGCUGACGCGCUCCUGGCAUUUCACGUACGCUUCGUAGUCGGCGAAAACCUUAAACCUAAGGGGGAUUUUAUGGGGUCAGCGACCCCAAAUGCCCCAAAAUGGGGAGAGAGGGGGCGGCGCUAUGGGGUGGGAACAACAGUGGGGUCGGGGAACCCAGAAUGGGAUCGGGAAAGCGAUAAUGGGAUUGGGAACCCAAGAGUGGGACUGGGAACCCAUAAUGGGAUCAGGAAGCCAAUAGUGGGAUCAGGAAGCCAAUAAUGGGAU